This 20-nucleotide non-coding RNA is filed under the name Arabidopsis thaliana (thale cress). The record is from RNAcentral. Lineage: Eukaryota; Viridiplantae; Streptophyta; Magnoliopsida; Brassicales; Brassicaceae.
UGGACAAGAACUCCCGAGUU